GAUGAACGCUGGCGGCGUGCCUAAUACAUGCAAGUCGAGCGAACGGACGAGAAUCUUGCUUCUCUGAUGUUAGCGGCGGACGUGUGAGUAACACGUGUAUAACCUCCCUAUCAGACUGGGAUAACUUCGGGAAACCGGAGCUAAUACCGUAUAAUAUUUUGCACCGCAUGGUUCAAAAGUGAAAGACGGUCUUGCUGUCACUUAUAGAUGGAUCCGCGCUGCAUUAGCUAGUUGUUAAGGUAACGGCUUACCAAGGCAACGAUGCAUAGCCGACCUGAGAGGGUGAUAGGCCACACGGGAGCUGAGACACGGUCCAGACGCCUAAGGGAGGAAGCAGUAGGGAAUCUUACGCAAUGGGCGAAAGCCUGACGGAGCAACGCAGCGUGAGUGAUGAAGGUCUUCGGAGCGUAAAACUCUGUUAUUAGGGAAGAACAUAUGUGUAAGUAACUGUGCACAUCUUGACGGUACCUAAUCAGAAAGCCACGGCUAACUACGUG
Molecule: ribosomal RNA, 497 nt
Filed under: uncultured bacterium
Lineage: Bacteria
Description: partial 16S ribosomal RNA
Rfam family: Bacterial small subunit ribosomal RNA
Source: RNAcentral